CUUUUAUGGAGAGUUUGAUCCUGGCUCAGGACGAACGCUGGCGGCGUGCCUAAUACAUGCAAGUCGAGCGGACCUUACCCUUCGGGGUAAGGUUAGCGGCGGACGGGUGAGUAACACGUAGGUAACCUGCCUGUAAGACCGGGAUAACAUUCGGAAACGAAUGCUAAU
This 168-nucleotide ribosomal RNA is filed under the name Paenibacillus methanolicus. RNAcentral describes it as "partial 16S ribosomal RNA". It matches the Rfam family "Bacterial small subunit ribosomal RNA", at positions 1 to 167 of the family's 1533-position model. Lineage: Bacteria; Bacillati; Bacillota; Bacilli; Caryophanales; Paenibacillaceae. The record is from RNAcentral.